This is an RNA transcript of Ipomoea nil (Japanese morning glory), 1711 nucleotides long. RefSeq lists it as uncharacterized. Lineage: Eukaryota; Viridiplantae; Streptophyta; Magnoliopsida; Solanales; Convolvulaceae. The record is from RefSeq and is a predicted model, not a curated record. The transcript is spliced from 8 exons.
CUCCCAAACAAUUUCUCCCUAACACUCCAUUGCAACUUUUCCAUCUCCUUAGUCAGUGCUUUCUACCGAGAGUGUCCUCUCGUCGCCUCCAACCUCCGACGCCGUUGCUGCCGCCAACCUCUGCCGCCAUCGCCGCCUCCCUCCUCUACAGCCGUGAAUAAGUCAGUAAACUUGGUUUUGAAAAAUUGAAGCCUUUAAUCUCUGAGGAUGGAGUCCCCAAAGCACGCGGUCACGUUCUAGGCGGAAGCAGCGCCAUAAACGUCGGUUUCUAUAGCAAAGCCGAUGAUGUUUCGGCCGGAGCUCAAGAGUGGACAAUCAGCGGUGAGAGAUUGUUUGCUGGAAUGGAUUCGGUCAGAGGUUUCUCUCUAUUUUUAUUUCUCAGUUCAAAGUUUCAUGCUCAGAUAUAUUGUUGUUGUGGGAGUCUACGCUCAUAUCUGCUGCUGUUGUGGGAGUACGCUCACAUCUACUCCUUUUAUUAUAUCUACAACGGAACUAGCGACGGAGGGAUAGAGGAGGUGGCGGCGGAGUUGGAAAUCGGCCGGUUUGUGCCCAUAUUUCUUCAUCACUCCACCCUGCCACUCACAAUCGACGAAAUUGUAAGUGCUCACCAAAGUUCAUUUGAAGAUGACAAGUACAGUGAAAUCAAGUAUCUCUUUCCUUGUAAUUCAUGGAAGAUGAUUACGGAAAAUGAUGUGACGGUCAUGAUUUCCCUCCUUAAGUCCUCGAAACAUGAACAUUUUAAAAAAUUGAUCAGUCCCUUAAUUAAGCCAUUGCUGCGUUUCCUUUAUCUCCCUUGUUCAUCAAGUGAUUUUAUGCGAAAUCUAGGAUCUGCGUGGUUAUUGAUUGGUGGCUUAUGCUACCAUCUUUUGAUUAGCUACACAUAUUUGGAACCCACUGUAAAAUACUCUGUAAAGCACUCACAGCUGACAGAAAAAAAUUGCUUGUCUCCAGCUUGAGAAUGAGGUAAGAAGAGAGUGUACUUAUUUAUCAGGGUCCUUUCAGUUAAGAGAAGAUGACAGACAUACCAAGGUGUUAGAAGAACUCAAUACCAAGCUGAAGAAACUUCAAAAACAUGACAGAAAAACAUUCACUAUUGUGCUUGAAUGCCAAGAGGAGUAAGUAGCUAGUGAAAAGGGGGAAGCUUUAAGGUAUAAAUACUAGUGAACUUUGCAAACUCUUGUAUUAAAAGUUAAAUUUCUAACUUAUGUAAUUAUUCUUUGCAAACUCUUGUAACUCUUGUAUUAAAACUUUACAAAAACAUUCACUAUUGUGCUUUAAAUACAAGCUUAAGUUCAAAAUGGAGAAGGAAACCUCCAUGACAAGUCUCUUGUUACAAAGGACAACACAAGUCUUGCGUUAGCCACAGUUCCUAUUAUAGUCAGAUUGUCAUCUAAACAAGCCAGCUCAUCAACUACUCAUAUGGAUAUUAUCACCCGGAUAUCAAUUCUUGUUAACUGUUCUCCUUGUGCUCCAGGAGUUGUGUAUGGAUAUUAUCACCCGGAUAUCAAUACAUGUAGUUCUAACAAGUUGAUUAUGACAAAGCGGUUAUUGAUCUGGUGCGUUCAGAAUGGGCCGAUAUUCUAUCAUCAUGUUAUAUAGAGUAGGUAUGAUUUGACGUUGUGAUCAUUUAGACUUGGUUUGUGGAUCAGAAUUGUUUUUUGUAGUAUUAUGACUUGGAUGAUGAUUUGAUUAUAAUUGGUCAUGCUCAGUA